ACGGGUGAGUAAUACAUCGGAACGUAUCCUGGAGUGGGGGAUAGCCCGGCGAAAGCCGGAUUAAUACCGCAUACGCUCUGAGGAGGAAAGCGGGGGACCUUCGGGCCUCGCGCUCAAGGGGCGGCCGAUGGCGGAUUAGGUAGUUGGUGGGGUAAAGGCCUACCAAGCCGACGAUCCGUAGCUGGUCUGAGAGGACGACCAGCCACACUGGGACUGAGACACGGCCCAGACUCCUACGGGAGGCAGCAGUGGGGAAUUUUGGACAAUGGGGGCAACCCUGAUCCAGCAAUGCCGCGUGUGUGAAGAAGGCCUUCGGGUUGUAAAGCACUUUUGUCCGGAAAGAAAUCAUCGGGACCAAUACCCCUGGUGGAUGACGGUACCGGAAGAAUAAGCACCGGCUAACUACGUGCCAGCAGCCGCGGUAAUACGUAGGGUGCGAGCGUUAAUCGGAAUUACUGGGCGUAAAGCGUGCGCAGGCGGUGCUGUAAGACCGAUGUGAAAUCCCCGGGCUUAACCUGGGAACUGCAUUGGUGACUGCAGCGCUGGAGUAUGGCAGAGGGGGGUGGAAUUCCACGU
Molecule: ribosomal RNA, 576 nt
Filed under: uncultured bacterium
Lineage: Bacteria
Description: bacterial SSU rRNA
Rfam family: Bacterial small subunit ribosomal RNA
Source: RNAcentral